This 492-nucleotide ribosomal RNA is filed under the name uncultured Sphingobacteriales bacterium. RNAcentral's name for it is "bacterial SSU rRNA". It matches the Rfam family "Bacterial small subunit ribosomal RNA", at positions 888 to 1382 of the family's 1533-position model. The record is from RNAcentral. Lineage: Bacteria; Pseudomonadati; Bacteroidota; Sphingobacteriia; Sphingobacteriales.
CCCGCUCAGAAACUUAAAGGAAUUGACGGGGGCCCGCACAAGCGGUGGAGCAUGUGGUUUAAUUCGAUGAUACGCGAGGAACCUUACCUGGGCUCAAAUGUAUGUUGACGUAUUCUGAAAGGGAUACUUCUUCGGACAAUAUACAAGGUGCUGCAUGGUUGUCGUCAGCUCGUGCCGUGAGGUGUCGGGUUAAGUCCCAUAACGAGCGCAACCCCUAUCAUUAGUUGCCAUCAGGUCAAGCUGGGGACUCUAAUGAAACUGCCUACGCAAGUAGUGAGGAAGGUGGGGAUGACGUCAAAUCAGCACGGCCCUUACGUCCAGGGCUACACACGUGCUACAAUGGCCGGUACAAAGGGCAGCUACCUGGUGACAGGAUGCUAAUCUCAAAAGCCGGUCUCAGUUCGGAUCGGAGUCUGCAACCCGACUUCGUGAAGCUGGAAUCGCUAGUAAUCGCGCAUCAGCCAUGGCGCGGUGAAUACGUUCCCGGGCCUU